RNAcentral lists this ribosomal RNA (457 nucleotides) under Campylobacter gracilis. RNAcentral's name for it is "bacterial SSU rRNA". It matches the Rfam family "Bacterial small subunit ribosomal RNA", at positions 29 to 500 of the family's 1533-position model. The record is from RNAcentral. Lineage: Bacteria; Pseudomonadati; Campylobacterota; Epsilonproteobacteria; Campylobacterales; Campylobacteraceae.
AGUGAACGCUGGCGGCGUGCCUAAUACAUGCAAGUCGAACGGAAUUUAAAAGAGCUUGCUCUUUUGAAUUUAGUGGCGCACGGGUGAGUAAUAUAUAGCUAAUCUGCCCCUUGCUGGAGGACAACAGAUAGAAAUGACUGCUAAUACUCCAUACUCCUUUUUACCAUAAGAUAAAUCGGGAAAGAAUUUCGGCAAGGGAUGAGACUAUAUCGUAUCAGCUAGUCGGUGGGGUAACGGCCUACCGAGGCUAUGACGCGUAACUGGUCUGAGAGGAUGAUCAGUCACAUUGGAACUGAGACACGGUCCAAACUCCUACGGGAGGCAGCAGUAGGGAAUAUUGCGCAAUGGGGGAAACCCUGACGCAGCAACGCCGCGUGGAGGAUGACACUUUUCGGAGCGUAAACUCCUUUUGUUAGGGAAGAAUAAUGACGGUACCUAACGAAUAAGCACCGGCUAA